AUUGCCCAUGUGCAUGUAAUUGUGAUGGACGCUGUAGGAGAGAGGAAUAACAUCGUGGGAGUGACAAAAAAGUAAGUCAGUGCUGCUAAAAACCUUCAAGGAGAAGACAGUGAGGAAUGGCUUUGCUGUCGUUUAGGGGAGGAAGCCUCUGUAAAACUCUCAAUGGCUUUCUAUCCAUCAAAAGGUGGAUGUUGGGAUUGAGUCAUCAGGCUGCUGAUUAUCCCGCACACCUGUCAUCAUCAUCUCGCGCACCUGCGCCUCAUGACGCUCACCUGGACUCCAUCACCUCCUUGAUUAUCUUCCUUAUAUCUGUCACACCCCUUGGUUCUUUACUCAGGUGUUAUUGACUGUGUAUUCAUGUCAGUGCAUUGUUUGUGUUUUGUGUUCAUUGUUUAUUUUAUUUAUUAAAACACUUACUCCCUGAA
Oncorhynchus nerka (sockeye salmon) is the source of this 425-nucleotide long non-coding RNA. RefSeq lists it as uncharacterized. The record is from RefSeq and is a predicted model, not a curated record. NCBI's taxonomy places the organism in Eukaryota, Metazoa, Chordata, Actinopteri, Salmoniformes, Salmonidae. The transcript has 3 exons.